Molecule: transfer RNA, 75 nt
Filed under: Candidatus Colwellbacteria bacterium RIFCSPLOWO2_02_FULL_45_11
Lineage: Bacteria; Candidatus Colwelliibacteriota
Description: tRNA-Gly
Rfam family: tRNA
About the family: Transfer RNA (tRNA) molecules are approximately 80 nucleotides in length. Their secondary structure includes four short double-helical elements and three loops (D, anti-codon, and T loops).
Source: RNAcentral
GCGGGCGUCGUAUAGUGGCUAUUAUAUUACCUUGCCAAGGUAGAGACGGGAGUUCGAUUCUCCUCGCCCGCUCCA